UUUUUGGAGAGUUUGAUCUUGGCUCAGGACGAACGCUGGCGGCGUGCCUAAUACAUGCAAGUCGAGCGCGGGAAGCUAACUGAACCCUCCGGGGUGACG
Molecule: ribosomal RNA, 99 nt
Filed under: Salinibacillus xinjiangensis
Lineage: Bacteria; Bacillati; Bacillota; Bacilli; Caryophanales; Bacillaceae
Description: Bacterial small subunit ribosomal RNA
Rfam family: Bacterial small subunit ribosomal RNA
Source: Rfam by way of RNAcentral